This 403-nucleotide ribosomal RNA is filed under the name uncultured bacterium. Its description in RNAcentral is "partial 16S ribosomal RNA". It matches the Rfam family "Bacterial small subunit ribosomal RNA", at positions 30 to 525 of the family's 1533-position model. The record is from RNAcentral.
AUUGCACGCUGGCGGCAGGCCUAACACAUGCAAGUCGAGCGAGCGGCGGACGGGUGAGUAAUGUAUGGGGCCUGCCCGAUAGAGGGGGGUAACUACUUUAAACGGUAUCUAAUACCGCAUACUAUCGGAUAACCCAUAUGGGAUUAGCUAUUAGGUGAGGUAAUGGCUCACCUAGGCGCCGAUCCCUAGCUGGUCUGAGAGGAUGAUCAGCCACACUGUGACGUAGAGCCUGCCCAGACUCCUCCGGAGGCAGCCGUGGGGAAUAUUGCACACGUGGCGCAAGCCUUAUGCAGCCAUGCCGCGUGUAUGACGAAGGCCCUAGGUUUGUAAAGUACUUUCAGUCGGGAGGCGUUACCGACAGAAGAAGCACCGGCUAACUCCGCGCCAGCCGCCGCGGUAAUUA